RNAcentral lists this ribosomal RNA (406 nucleotides) under uncultured bacterium. Its description in RNAcentral is "partial 16S ribosomal RNA". It matches the Rfam family "Bacterial small subunit ribosomal RNA", at positions 29 to 526 of the family's 1533-position model. The record is from RNAcentral.
AUUGAACGCUGGCGGCAGGCCUAACACAUGCAAGUCGAACGAGUGGCGGACGGGUGAGUAAUGUCUGGGACACUGCCUGAUGGUGGGGGAUAACUACUGGAAACGGUAGCUAAUACCGCAUACCAUCGGAUGUGCCCAGAUGGGAUUAGCUAGUAGGUGGGGUAACGGCUCACCUAGGCGACGAUCCCUAGCUGGUCUGAGAGGAUGCCCAACCACGCUGGAACUGAGACACGGGCAAGACUCCAACGGGAGGCAGCAGGGGGUAAUAUGGGACAAUGGGGGCAAGCCUGAUGCGGCAAUGCCGCGUGUAUGAAGAAGGCAUUCGGGUUGUAAAGUACUGUCAGCGGGGAGGCGGUACCCGCAGAAGAAGCACCGGCUAACUCCGUGCCAGCAGCCGCGGUAAUUC